Molecule: ribosomal RNA, 253 nt
Filed under: uncultured bacterium
Lineage: Bacteria
Description: partial 16S ribosomal RNA
Rfam family: Bacterial small subunit ribosomal RNA
Source: RNAcentral
UACGUAGGGUGCAAGCGUUAAUCGGAAUUACUGGGCGUAAAGCGUGCGCAGGCGGUUAUGUAAGACAGAGGUGAAAUCCCCGGGCUCAACCUGGGAACUGCCUUUGUGACUGCAUAGCUAGAGUACGGUAGAGGGGGAUGGAAUUCCGCGUGUAGCAGUGAAAUGCGUAGAUAUGCGGAGGAACACCGAUGGCGAAGGCAAUCCCCUGGGCCUGUACUGACGCUCAUGCACGAAAGCGUGGGGAGCAAACAGG